This 253-nucleotide ribosomal RNA is filed under the name uncultured bacterium. RNAcentral describes it as "partial 16S ribosomal RNA". It matches the Rfam family "Bacterial small subunit ribosomal RNA", at positions 524 to 776 of the family's 1533-position model. The record is from RNAcentral.
UACGAAGGGUGCAAGCGUUACUCGGAAUUACUGGGCGUAAAGCGUGCGUAGGUGGUUUGUUAAGUCUGAUGUGAAAGCCCUGGGCUCAACCUGGGAAUGGCAUUGGAUACUGGCGAGCUAGAGUGCGGUAGAGGGUAGUGGAAUUCCCGGUGUAGCAGUGAAAUGCGUAGAGAUCGGGAAGAACAUCGGUGGCGAAAGCGCUCUACUGGACCGCAACUGACACUCAGGGACGAAAGCUAGGGGAGCGAAUGGG